GAAUAUUGACAUGAAACAAUCAAAAAUUAUAGAUACGACGGAGACGUAUUAGCACCCCCAAGCUUAAUUCCUGCUGGUUCUCGAGUAGGUAAACGAAAAAAAAAAUAAUUUUUGAUGUGGAAUGCUACCUCGCAUAAUCUUGAUCAUAUAAUCUAAUCAUGGCAUGAAUAUUAAGACACGACUGAUUCAAAGCAAUAGUCUAUAGUUUGACAUAAAGACAUUAAUACUCCGACAUCCCAACAAAUAAUCAAUACUUCCAAAAUAUCAAUGCUAAAAAACAUUAUCCCUAUAAAAUCAUAUAGCCUUGCAAUGCUCCAUCUUCUUGACACAAAGUAUUUAUCAUGCACAAGCCAAUGACAAGCAGAGCAAUUGGUUCAUACUUUUUAACACGCUUCAACUUUUUCUAUGGCACCCCGGCUCAGAGAAACCGGAACGUCCCGUAUUCCAGCCCAGAGAUCGAGGUGAAGUCUUCUGGAGUACGGCACUGCUUAGCAUAGAACAAACCAACUCUCUGUUAUAACACGAACAUGAAUACAAGGUCUCGAUAUUACAAUGAAUAACACCGGCACGGCAACGCUACGCCAACCACAGUUGCUCUAUGCAAGCAGCAUAACAACUCGAGGCAGCGGAACAACUAUUGGCAGCGGAACAACGAACGACGAUGACAGACUCCAAUCCGCACGGACUCUGGCUGGAACGUGUAUCCUAGCUCGUGAACACAUGAACCACACCAAACAAGCAAGCAAUCCAGGCACGACCUGCAAACUGGCAUGACACGCCAGGUCAGUACAUUGAAUGUACUUGCAAGCUCACAAUAACCAAAAGCAGUCAAGACAAACAACAGCAUGGCAUUAGCAGGUUAAAUCAAUCAUGAACAUGAUACAAGCAGAACAAUAUGGCAUGCAUAACUGAACACGAUACAACUUUAGCGGGGCAUGCACAUAUGAACAUGAUGAUACUACAUGCAACAGGUUAACAUUAUCAUGCACCAACUUACUCUGCUUGGGUUACCUCGUAGCCAACACAUGCAUCAACUUACCAACAUCGGUAUCCACGAUACCACCGUGAUCAUCUCGCGAUCACACAACUUCGGUAUCCAUGAUACCUCCGUGCUCCUCUCUUGACCACAACCAAUCUCUUUCUCAUCAUCGAACCGGGGUUAUUAUUAAUCAAGUUAUUAUUAUUGUUGGCUCAUAGUGUGACCGACUACGAACUGGGACCAUAUCCGCGGGCGCGGCUAUCAAUAGAUUUAACGCACACAUUCUGCAGAGGUAGCACACUUUACCCACACCAUGGAACCCAUGGCCUCACACUCCCAUACAUGUGGACCAACGGCGUUCCGACAAAACCGAUCUACUGCCAUGACACUCUCCCGGCCACUCCGACCAACUCCCCUUUGGGCUAAGUCAUGGGUGGCCCCGUGCCUACCAAAGGCAUCAACGGCCACCGUCAUGGCAAAAUAAAUGGUCCCAAACGGGGACAUGAGCUCAAAACCAAACAUGGGCACACAAGGCUUAUGCCGUCCUACCCGGCCAAGGUAGCGCCCGCGCAUAACCUUUCCUCGUUGGAGGCACCGACGAGAGGCAUGACAAUAGACCCAAUUAGGGCCUUCCCAUAAAAGGCAAAUGUGGUUGCACUGGUCAGCUUGAUUUGGUGGCACCAUGACUCAGCCAAUAGAUGUUCAAGUUCAUUAUUAUCCAGUUAAACUUGAAUGCAAUAAGCCGAGCCAUAUUAAAAAUAACAUGAUGCAUCUACAAUGCAGGAUACCAACAUGAGCAUGGAUGUGCAACAUAAUCCUCAAGCAUAUCAACAAUCAUAUAUCAUAUAUCCGAAUGAGCAUGACAUACGGACGAGCAUGAAUAACACAAGCAUAACUGUACCAUAAGCAUAGCAUGACCACUAGCAUCAUGAAUAAAUACCAUGCAAGAACACAUCAAUAACAUUACCGAGUAAACACUUAACCAACUAACAGCAAAGAAACAUGCAACUCAACAUUAUUCGGUAACCGACGAUAGUCAUGCACUGAAGAACAUGACCAACCCAACAUGUACUACUACCAAGCAUGGCAAUAUGAAAGUAAUACUAGCAAGUAGAACAUGAUAACUAGGUGCAUAUGAACAUAUCAUGAAAGUAAACACAGAUCCAUAGCAUAACCGAAACAACAAUAGCAGUAACAAAACAAACAGACAGUUAUUUAAGAUUCAAGUUGAAAACCAAUGCUACUGCAUGGCUAUCAUGCAAAUGGUGGUUGUGGCUUGCCUGGGGUGACGGAGACUCCAGGAAAAAGGUGCGGCGAAACCACAGAACGAAACGCCGGACGGUUCUCUCUCGAAGGGGGCUGAUAGAGGCAAGGGCAAAAUGGUCAUUUUCACUAUGGGACCACCUAGUGAAAAUGAUACCAACAGAAAGUUAUCGACGAGACGAAGACGUGAGCGUUGAUUUCACCUUGAUCGGAGUUGCGGUUGAAAAGUUAUGAGGUGAUGAAGAUCAGGGACCUAUAUGUGAAUAUUUUCAUCACCAACAAGUCCCUGGCGGCUGAAAUAGAAAGUGCCUUUCACAGUAAUACGUUUUCAGGACAGAGAAAAGGCUAAAGUAGAGUGAUAGUACGCUUUCCGAAGAGGUAAACGUAACUUUGGGAAUACGUCUCCACUAACGUACCUGGGCCUGGGUCCAAGUCAACGCAUGGGAGACAGAAGGCGGGACCCGCGGGCAGAGGAGAGGCGAGGCAGGGCGAUGCCGGUGGUGGCCCGGCCGGCUCCGGCCACCGUUGGCCGAGGCGAAGCCACCGGGCGGCGCGGGGCGGAGAGCCGCUUCUGUCCAGGGAAGAAACGGGCGCCAGGGAGGGGUGGGGAGGUGGCGACGAGAGGAGGCAGGAGGAGGCAGAGGCGGGCGGCCGGCGAGGGGACGGGCGACUCCGGCGGGAUCCGGCCGAUCUGAGGACACCAGAGGUACCGGGGAACCACGCCGCGUCCGUUCAGAUGGAUAGU
Molecule: long non-coding RNA, 2987 nt
Filed under: Triticum aestivum (bread wheat)
Lineage: Eukaryota; Viridiplantae; Streptophyta; Magnoliopsida; Poales; Poaceae
Description: long non-coding RNA (TAES_LNC000301)
Source: RNAcentral